RNAcentral lists this ribosomal RNA (476 nucleotides) under uncultured bacterium. RNAcentral describes it as "bacterial SSU rRNA". It matches the Rfam family "Bacterial small subunit ribosomal RNA", at positions 31 to 507 of the family's 1533-position model. The record is from RNAcentral.
GAACGCUGGCGGCGUGCUUAACACAUGCAAGUCGAACGAAGCACUUUGAAACAAUCCUUCGGGUGCGUUUCUUAGUGACUUAGUGGCGGACGGGUGAGUAACGCGUGGGUAACCUGCCUCAUGCAGGGGGAUAACAGUUAGAAAUGACUGCUAAUACCGCAUAAGCGCACAGUACCGCAUGGUACAGUGUGAAAAGAUUUAUCAGCAUGAGAUGGACCCGCGUCUGAUUAGCUAGUUGGUGGGGUAACGGCCCACCAAGGCGACGAUCAGUAGCCGGUCUGAGAGGAUGAACGGCCACAUUGGGACUGAGACACGGCCCAAACUCCUACGGGAGGCAGCAGUGGGGAAUAUUGCACAAUGGGGGAAACCCUGAUGCAGCGACGCCGCGUGAGUGAAGAAGUAUUUCGGUAUGUAAAGCUCUAUCAGCAGGGAAGAAAAUGACGGUACCUGACUAAGAAGCCCCGGCUAACUACGUG